GACGAACGCUGGCGGCGUGCUUAACACAUGCAAGUCGAACGCUGAAGACCUGGCUUUUGUUGGGUUGGAUGAGUGGCGAACGGGUGAGUAACACGUGAGUAACCUGCCCUCUUCUUUGGGAUAACGCCCGGAAACGGGUGCUAAUACUGGAUAUUCACUGAUCUUCGCAUGGGGGUUGGUGGAAAGGUUUGUUCUGGUGGGGGAUGGGCUCGCGGCCUAUCAGCUUGUUGGUGGGGUGAUGGCCUACCAAGGCUUUGACGGGUAGCCGGCCUGAGAGGGUGACCGGGCACAUUGGGACUGGGAUACGGCCCAGACUGAGACGGGAGGCGGCAGUGGGGAAUAUUGCACAAUGGGCGAAAGCCGGAUGCAGCGACGCCGCGUGAGGGAUGGAGGCCUUCGGGUUGUAAACCUCUGUAGAUAAUGGUCAAGCCGCAACUGUGGGUUGUGGUGAGGGUAGUGGGUAAAGAAGCGCCGGCUAACUACGUG
Molecule: ribosomal RNA, 486 nt
Filed under: uncultured bacterium
Lineage: Bacteria
Description: partial 16S ribosomal RNA
Rfam family: Bacterial small subunit ribosomal RNA
Source: RNAcentral